CCCAGGUCAGGCGGGACCACCCGCUGAGUUUAAGCAUAUCAAUAAGC
This 47-nucleotide ribosomal RNA is filed under the name Fagonia pachyacantha. Its description in RNAcentral is "partial 28S ribosomal RNA". The record is from RNAcentral. Lineage: Eukaryota; Viridiplantae; Streptophyta; Magnoliopsida; Zygophyllales; Zygophyllaceae.